This 467-nucleotide ribosomal RNA is filed under the name uncultured bacterium. RNAcentral's name for it is "partial 16S ribosomal RNA". It matches the Rfam family "Bacterial small subunit ribosomal RNA", at positions 28 to 507 of the family's 1533-position model. The record is from RNAcentral.
GACGAACGCUGGCGGCGUGCCUAACACAUGCAAGUCGAACGGAAAGGCCUCUUUCGGGGGGUACUCGAGUGGCGAACGGGUGAGUAACACGUGAGUAACCUGCCCUUGACUUUGGGAUAACUUCAGGAAACUGGGGCUAAUACCGGAUAGGAGCUCCUGCUGCAUGGUGGGGGUUGGAAAGUUUCGGCGGUUGGGGAUGGACUCGCGGCUUAUCAGCUUGUUGGUGGGGUAGUGGCUUACCAAGGCUUUGACGGGUAGCCGGCCUGAGAGGGUGACCGGCCACAUUGGGACUGAGAUACGGCCCAGACUCCUACGGGAGGCAGCAGUGGGGAAUAUUGCACAAUGGGUGGAAGCCUGAUGCAGCAACGCCGUGGGCGGGAGGACGGCCUUCGGGUUGUAAACCGCUUUCGCUCAUGACGAAGCUUUGUGUGACGGUAGUGGGUAAAGAAGCACCGGCUAACUACGUG